RNAcentral lists this transfer RNA (66 nucleotides) under Vibrio cholerae HC-56A2. RNAcentral's name for it is "partial tRNA-Gln". It matches the Rfam family "tRNA", at positions 1 to 63 of the family's 71-position model. From Rfam's summary of the family: Transfer RNA (tRNA) molecules are approximately 80 nucleotides in length. Their secondary structure includes four short double-helical elements and three loops (D, anti-codon, and T loops). The record is from RNAcentral. Lineage: Bacteria; Pseudomonadati; Pseudomonadota; Gammaproteobacteria; Vibrionales; Vibrionaceae. RNAcentral also lists the same sequence under 1 other name.
GUAGGUCUGUCGCCAAGCGGUAAGGCAACGGGUUUUGAUCCCGUCAUACCUAGGUUCGAAUCCUAG